GAUGAAGAACGUAGCGAAAUGCGAUAAGUAAUGUGAAUUGCAGAAUUCAGUGAAUCAUCGAAUCUUUGAACGCACAUUGCGCCCCCAGGUAUUCCGGGGGGCAUGCCUGUUCGAGCGUCAUUUCACCACUCAAGCCUCGCUUGGUAUUGGGCAUCGCGGUCCGCCGCGUGCCUCAAAUCGACCGGCUGGGUCUUCUGUCCCCUAAGCGUUGUGGAAACUAUUCGCUAAAGGGUGUUCGGGAGGCUACGCCGUAAAACAACCCCAUUUCUAAGGUUGACCUCGGAUCAGGUAGGGAUACCCGCUGAACUUAAGCAUAUCAAUAAGCGGAGGA
RNAcentral lists this unclassified non-coding RNA (331 nucleotides) under soil metagenome. RNAcentral describes it as "partial contains 5.8S ribosomal RNA, internal transcribed spacer 2, and large subunit ribosomal RNA". The stretch from base 1 to 120 matches the Rfam family "5.8S ribosomal RNA", at positions 35 to 154 of the family's 154-position model. The record is from RNAcentral.